CGAUCCCAUGUUAGGCGGGAUUACCCACUGAGUUUAAGCAUAUUAUAAGCAGAGGAAAAUAUAUUUACAAUGAUUCCCUUUGUAACUAUGAGCGAACCAGGAAUAGCCCAGCCUUAGAAUCUGGAGGUUCCAUCAUCCGAAUUAUAGUCGGGAGAAGCAUCAUCAGUGGUAGACUGGGCCUAAGUCCCCUGGAAGGGGACGCCAGAGAGGGUGAGAGCCCCGUUGUGCCCAAACCCUAUCGUACUACGAGGCGCUAUCUAUGUGUCGGAAUGUUUACAAAUGCAUCCCAAAUCGGGCGACAAAUUCUAUCCAAGGCUAAAUACGGGCGAGAGACUGAUAGCGAACAAGUACCAUAAGGGAAAUAUGAAAUGGACUUUGAAAAGAGAAUCAACAAGUCCUUGAACUAAUUGGGAUAGAAGCAGAUGGGGACUAGCGAUAUGCCCCAAUCGGAUGUGGAACAACGAUAAGCCAAUUUGUUAAUUGACUCGAGGCAUGGACCAACGUGGAUUGGAGGAGCGUGCAUAGCCUGAGCUCUCAUUACACUUGUGGAAUGUCAUAUCCUCAAUUGUGAUAGGCAGUGCGCGCCUCUGUCUUGCUUUGGUAUGUGCGUGCUUCGGACGCUGGCCUGUGGGCUCCCCAUUAGAGCCGUCUUGAAACACGAACCAAGGAGUCUGACAUGUGUGCGAGUAAACGGGCGAGUAAACCUGUAAAGAAGCUAAUUAGUGGUACCCCCUGAGGCGUGCUCCGUCGACCAGCCUUGAUCUUCUAAGAAGGGUUUGAGUGUGAGCAUGCCUUUCAGGACCCAAAUGAUAGUGAACUAUCCCUGAGCAGGGCGAAGCCAGAGCAAACUCUGAUGGAGGCCCGCAAUGAUACUAAUGUGCAAAUCGUUCGUCUGACUUAGGUAUAAGGGUAAAAUCCUAAUUGAACCAUCUAGUAAUUGGUUCUGUCCAAAGUUUCCCUCAGGAUAGCUGAAGCUCGCGUGCGAGUUCUAUCGGGUAAAGCCAAUGAUUAGAAGCCUAGGGGGCACAACUCCAUCGACCUAUUCUCAAACCUUAAAUAGGUAGGACAGUUCGGAUGCUUUAUCAAGCCACGCCAUAAAACCAAGAGCUCCAAGUGGGCCAUUUUUGGUAAGCCAAACUAGCGAUGCAGGAUUAACCAAAAAUAGGGUUAUGGUGCCUAAUUGCAUGCUAACCUAGAUCCCAUAAAGGGUGUUGGUCGAUUAAGAGAGAAAGACGAUGUUCAUGGAAGUUGAAAUCCACUAAGUAGUGUGUAAUAACUCACUUGACGAAUCAACUAGCCCCAAAAAUAGAUUUCACUUAAGCGCGCAACCUAUACCCAGCCGUCGGGGCAAGUGCUAGGCCCCAAUAAGUAGGAGGGCACGGCGGUCGCUGCAAAAACCUUGGGAAUGAGCACAGGAUGAGAAGCCAUUGGUGCAGACCUUAGUGGUAGUAACAAAUAUUCAAAUAAGAAUUUAAAGACCGAAGAGGGGAAAGGUUCCAUGUGAAUGGUACUUGCACAUAGGUUAGUCGAUCCUAAGGGUUGGGGGAACCCCAACAAAUAGCGGGUUUCGCGUGUACUGCAAAAGAGAAUCGGGUUAAAAUUCCUAAAACAGGACGUGGAGAUUGAAGACAAUGUUAGGAAGUCCAAAGACGUCGGUGGGAGCCUUGGGAAGAGUUAUCUUUUCUGUUUAAUAGCCUUCCCACCCUGAAAUUGGCUCAGCCGGAAGCAGGGUCCAGCGGUUGGAUAAGCACAACACUUUGCGUGGUAUCCGAUAUGCCCUCGGCAUCCCUUGAAAAUUCAGAGGACCGAAUGUCAUCCACACUUGGUCGUACUCAUAACCGCGUCAGGUCUCCAAGGUGAACAACCUCUGGUUAAUUAAACAAUGAAUGCAAGGGAAGUCGGCAAAAUGGAUCCAUAAUUUCUGGAAAAAGAUAGGCUCUGAGGGCUGGGCAUGGGGGUCCCAGUCCUAAACACGUCGGCUAUCGAUGGAUGCUCAAGCUGCCCCUGCAGUGGAGUGGGUUGCCACGUGCCUACCGAGGGACGUACUAGGAACGGUUCCUUCGUGGGCCUUCCCCAAGGAUCGAACAUCCAACUCCGAACUGGUAAGAACAAGGGAAAUCUGACUGUUUAAUUAAAACAUAGCAUUACGAUGGUCCCAAUGGAUGUUCACACAAUGUGAUUUCUUCCCAGUGCCCUGAAUGUCAAAGUGAAGAAAUUCAACCAAGCGCGGGAAAAUGGCGGGAGUAAAUAUGACUCUCUUAAGGUAGCCAAAUGCCUCAUCAUCUAAUUAGUGACGCGCAUGAAUGGAUUAACGAGAUUCCCACUAUCUCUGUCUACUAUCCAGUGAAACCACAACCAAGGGAUUCACACAAUUGGUCAUCACACUUGGUUGAACAGCCAGUGGUGCAAAGUUACAAUGUGAUGGAUUAUGAUUGAAUGCCUCUAAGUCAGAAUCCGGGCUAGAAGUGAUGCAUGCACCAGUCGUCCACUUGCCGACCCGCAGUUGGGGCCUCGACCCCCAAGGGCACAUGUUGUUGGCUAAGCCAUCAUGGCGGAAGGGUCAUAGUGGCCUCCUUGAAGUAUAAUAUCCAUCGAGUGGUAGGUAGAAUCCUUUGUAGAUGACUUAUAUACGCGAUGGGGUAUUGUAGGUGGAAAAGUGGUCUUACAGCCAUGAUCCACUGAGAUUCAGCCCCUUGUCGCUUUAGUUCUU
Molecule: non-coding RNA, 2710 nt
Organism: Capsicum annuum
Lineage: Eukaryota; Viridiplantae; Streptophyta; Magnoliopsida; Solanales; Solanaceae
Source: Rfam